RNAcentral lists this unclassified non-coding RNA (421 nucleotides) under fungal sp. RNAcentral's name for it is "partial internal transcribed spacer region". The stretch from base 1 to 45 matches the Rfam family "Eukaryotic small subunit ribosomal RNA", at positions 1787 to 1831 of the family's 1831-position model. Lineage: Eukaryota; Fungi. The record is from RNAcentral.
AGUCGUAACAAGGUUUCCGUAGGUGAACCUGCGGAAGGAUCAUUAACGAAGAGUUGGUUGUUAGGGGUUGUUAGGUGGUAGAUUUGAUGUCUGGAUUUGGAAACAAUUGAUAUCCAGAUAAUAUCCGAAUAUCAAAUCUGGCUAUCAAAUCCAGACAUCAAAUCUAUACCAUAUCCCUUUUCCUAACAUAUCACAAGUGCUUUUAGUAUCGAAUAGAUACUAAUGCGCGAAACAAAAAAUAUAUAUGUAUAUAUGUGUAUCCGUGUGUGUAUAUAUAUGUAUCGUGUAUAUAUGUAUCAUCAUGUAUCCGUGUAUAUCUAUAUAUAUAUAUAUAUAUAUAAUCAUUAUUAUUAUCGUUAUCAUUAUCAAUACAAUUAACUAAACAAACAAACAACUUUUAACAAUGGAUCUCUAGGCUCUU